UUGACAAUUUUUAUUAUUUAUAUUUCUUUUUAUAGCUUUUGAAUUUGUCUUCCAUCUUAUAUCUCAUCCGUGUGAUUCAUCACAUAGGAAUAUUUGUUGAGGCGUGUUUCAACAUUCAACCAAAUGCAUAUUUGAAUUGGGUCCCCCACUUCACUAAUAAGAAUUAACAUGUCACUUCAUGUGAAUUGUUGUUUUGCGUAAACGAAAUCUCAGUUUAAGAUGAAUUUUUUCUUGAGUCACCUUCCAAAUCAUUGUUAGCACUUAGCAGCCUUUGUACUUGCAUCAAAUAAAACUCACAUGACAUGAAAAUUCUGCUAGCUCCCCAAAACAAAGGAACACAGUAAUUAGAUCCAAAUUGUUCCAGAAUUCAGGCGGGUUGAACUGGACAAGAUAUUGUCUCAUUUUUGUCUAAGAUGCCCUUUUGUAGGGAUUGUAGUUUCUCCAAAUUUAGUUAUCUCGUGCAUUAUUUAUGAAAAUCAUUUAUGUUUAGAGCUCUUGAACUUGUACCUGUAUUGAGGUCUGCUCUUCAAACUAGCAAGCUUUUUGGGAGAGGUGCAACUAUGUAGUGGAAGACCCUAACUGCCUCACUAUUCUUCAAGCUACUAUCAAACCAUUCCAGUUUUAUGUUCUAUGAUGUGACACAAUGUUUCUAAUGGGCAAUGCCAAUAUGGAUUGUGACAUAAUAGCUUUAUUUUAGCAAUUGGUAAGAUGCAUAAUAGCUUUAUUUUAGUUGGAAUUCUUAUUUCCUCUUCCCAAAUCUAUCUUGAUAAAUAUUGAAUUUGUCAUUCGGCCCAUUCGAUCAUUGGAUCUAGAGGCAUUUUGGUUUAGACAUGUCGUGGUGCAUGGCUCUACCACUAUAUCCGAUUAAUGUGUUGCUUUCGACAUACCGGUAGACAAUCUGAUGAGCCUCACCAAGCAUGUGUCAUGUUUUGGUGUCAAACAUGGAGGCAUUUUCGUGUUCACAUGUUGAAAUUUCAGACAUGGACACCUAUGGUUUGACAUGUUUGCCCCCAUAAGUUUUGACAUAGGUCUAGAAGUUGAACAACCAUAUUCAUGUAUGGGAUGCAUGUAUUUGAUCUUUUAUGUUAAUUUUUCUUAUUUACUUUUGACUAUUUUUAUUAUCUAUAUUUCUUUUUAUAGCUUUUGAAUUUGUCUUCCAUCUUAUAUCUCAUCCGUGUGAUUCAUCACAUAGGAAUAUUUGUUGAGGCGUGUUUCAACAUUCAACCAAAUGCAUAUUUGAAUUGGGUCCCCCACUUCACUAAUAAGAAUUAACAUGUCACUUCAUGUGAAUUGUUGUUUUGCGUAAACGAAAUCUCAGUUUAAGAUGAAUCUUUUCUUGAGUCACCUUCCAAAUCAUUGUUAGCACUUAGCAGCCUUUGUACUUGCAUCAAAUAAAACUCACAUGACAUGAAAAUUCUGCUAGCUCCCCAAAACAAAGGAACACAGUAAUUAGCUCCAAAUUGUUCCAGAAUUCAUGCAGGUUGAACUGGACAAGAUAUUGUCUCAUUUUUGUCUAAGUUGCCCUUUUGUAGGGAUUGUAGUUUCUUCAAAUUUAGUUAUCUCGUGCAUUAUUUGUGAAAUUCAUUUAUGUUUAGAGCUCUUGAACUUAUACCUGUAUUGAGGUCUGCUCUUCAAACUAGCAAACUUUUUGGGAGAGGUGCAACUAUGCAGUGGAAGACCCUAACAGCCUCACUAUUCUUCAAGCUACUAUCAAACCAUUCCAGUUUUAUGUUCUAUGAUGUUACUCAAUGUUUCUAAUGGGCAAUCUCAAUACGGAUUGUGACAUAAUAGCUUUAGUUUAGCAAUUGGUAAGAUGCAUAAUAGCUUUAUUUUAGUUGGAAUUCUUAUUUCCUCUUCCCAAAUCUAUCUUGAUAAAUAUUGAAUUUGUCAUUCGGCCCAUUCAAUCAUUGGAUCUAGAGGCAUUUUGUUUUAGACAUGUCGUGGUGCGUGGCUCUACGACUAUAUCCGAUUAAUGUGUUGCUUUCGACAUACCAGUAGACAAUCUGAUGAGCCUCACCAAGCAUGUGUCAUGU
Molecule: long non-coding RNA, 2033 nt
Filed under: Amborella trichopoda
Lineage: Eukaryota; Viridiplantae; Streptophyta; Magnoliopsida; Amborellales; Amborellaceae
Description: long non-coding RNA (ATRI_LNC005231)
Source: RNAcentral